UACGAAGGGGGCUAGCGUUGUUCGGAAUUACUGGGCGUAAAGGGCGCGUAGGCGGUACUUCAAGUCAGGCGUGAAAGCCCCGGGCUCAACCUGGGAACCGCGCUUGAGACUGGAGAACUAGAGUUCGGGAGAGGAUGGUGGAAUUCCCAGUGUAGAGGUGAAAUUCGUAGAUAUCAGGAGGAACACCAGUGGCGAAGGCGGCUUCCUGGACACCAACUGACGCUGAGACGCGAAAGCGUGGGGAGCAAACAGG
RNAcentral lists this ribosomal RNA (253 nucleotides) under uncultured bacterium. Its description in RNAcentral is "partial 16S ribosomal RNA". It matches the Rfam family "Bacterial small subunit ribosomal RNA", at positions 524 to 776 of the family's 1533-position model. The record is from RNAcentral.